CCUACGGGUGGCAGCAGUGAGGAAUAUUGGUCAAUGGCCGGAAGGCUGAACCAGCCAUGCCGCGUGAAGGUCAGUGCCCUAUGGGCGUUAAACUUCUUUUGUGCGGGAGCAAUAAUGGUCACGUGUGGCCAGACGAGAGUACCGUACGAAUAAGCGACGGCUAAAUCCGGGCCAGCAGCCGCGGUAAAACGGGGGAUGCAAGCGUUAUCCGGAUUUAUUGGGUUUAAAGGGGGCGGAGGCUGGGAGGUAAGUCAGCGGUGAAAUGCCCCCGCUCCACGGGGUGAAGUGCCAUUGAUACUGUCUUGCUGGAGUGCGGAUGCCGUGGGAGGAAUGUGUGGUGUAGCGGUGAAAUGCAUAGAUAUCACACAGAACACCGAUUGCGAAGGCAUCUCACGAAUCCGCGAUUGACGUUGAUGCACGAAAGCGUGGGUAUCAAACAGGAUUAGAUACCCUUGUAGUC
Molecule: ribosomal RNA, 460 nt
Filed under: uncultured bacterium
Lineage: Bacteria
Description: partial 16S ribosomal RNA
Rfam family: Bacterial small subunit ribosomal RNA
Source: RNAcentral